GAUGAACGCUGGCGGCGUGCCUAAUACAUGCAAGUCGAGCGAACAGACGAGGAGCUUGCUCCUCUGACGUUAGCGGCGGACGGGUGAGUAACACGUGGAUAACCUACCUAUAAGACUGGGAUAACUUCGGGAAACCGGAGCUAAUACCGGAUAAUAUAUUGAACCGCAUGGUUCAAUAGUGAAAGACGGUUUUGCUGUCACUUAUAGAUGGAUCCGCGCCGCAUUAGCUAGUUGGUAAGGUAACGGCUUACCAAGGCGACGAUGCGUAGCCGACCUGAGAGGGUGAUCGGCCACACUGGAACUGAGACACGGUCCAGACUCCUACGGGAGGCAGCAGUAGGGAAUCUUCCGCAAUGGGCGAAAGCCUGACGGAGCAACGCCGCGUGAGUCAUGAAGGUCUUCGGAUCGUAAAACUCUGUUAUUAGGGAAGAACAAAUGUGUAAGUAACUAUGCACGUCUUGACGGUACCUAAUCAGAAAGCCACGGCUAACUACGUG
RNAcentral lists this ribosomal RNA (497 nucleotides) under uncultured bacterium. Its description in RNAcentral is "partial 16S ribosomal RNA". It matches the Rfam family "Bacterial small subunit ribosomal RNA", at positions 28 to 507 of the family's 1533-position model. The record is from RNAcentral.